RNAcentral lists this ribosomal RNA (1433 nucleotides) under uncultured organism. RNAcentral's name for it is "16S ribosomal RNA". It matches the Rfam family "Bacterial small subunit ribosomal RNA". The record is from RNAcentral.
GGAUGAACGCUAGCUACAGGCUUAACACAUGCAAGUCGAGGGGCAGCAUGGUCUUAGCUUGCUAAGGCCGAUGGCGACCGGCGCACGGGUGAGUAACACGUAUCCAACCUGCCGUCUACUCUUGGACAGCCUUCUGAAAGGAAGAUUAAUACAAGAUGGCAUCAUGAGUCCGCAUGUUCACAUGAUUAAAGGUAUUCCGGUAGACGAUGGGGAUGCGUUCCAUUAGAUAGUAGGCGGGGUAACGGCCCACCUAGUCUUCGAUGGAUAGGGGUUCUGAGAGGAAGGUCCCCCACAUUGGAACUGAGACACGGUCCAAACUCCUACGGGAGGCAGCAGUGAGGAAUAUUGGUCAAUGGGCGAGAGCCUGAACCAGCCAAGUAGCGUGAAGGAUGACUGCCCUAUGGGUUGUAAACUUCUUUUAUAAAGGAAUAAAGUCGGGUAUGGAUACCCGUUUGCAUGUACUUUAUGAAUAAGGAUCGGCUAACUCCGUGCCAGCAGCCGCGGUAAUACGGAGGAUCCGAGCGUUAUCCGGAUUUAUUGGGUUUAAAGGGAGCGUAGAUGGAUGUUUAAGUCAGUUGUGAAAGUUUGCGGCUCAGCCGUAAAAUUGCAGUUGAUACUGGAUAUCUUGAGUGCAGUUGAAGCACGCGGAAUUCGUGGUGUAGCGGUGAAAUGCUUAGAUAUCACGAAGAACUCCGAUUGCGAAGGCAGCCUGCUAAGCUGCAACUGACAUUGAGGCUCGAAAGUGUGGGUAUCAAACAGGAUUAGAUACCCUGGUAGUCCACACGGUAAACGAUGAAUACUCGCUGUUUGCGAUAUACAGCAAGCGGCCAAGCGAAAGCGUUAAGUAUUCCACCUGGGGAGUACGCCGGCAACGGUGAAACUCAAAGGAAUUGACGGGGGCCCGCACAAGCGGAGGAACAUGUGGUUUAAUUCGAUGAUACGCGAGGAACCUUACCCGGGCUUAAAUUGCAGAUGAAUUACGGUGAAAGCCGUAAGCCGCAAGGCAUCUGUGAAGGUGCUGCAUGGUUGUCGUCAGCUCGUGCCGUGAGGUGUCGGCUUAAGUGCCAUAACGAGCGCAACCCUUGUUGUCAGUUACUAACAGGUUCUGCUGAGGACUCUGACAAGACUGCCAUCGUAAGAUGUGAGGAAGGUGGGGAUGACGUCAAAUCAGCACGGCCCUUACGUCCGGGGCUACACACGUGUUACAAUGGGGGGUACAGAGGGCCGCUACCACGCGAGUGGAUGCCAAUCCCCAAAACCUCUCUCAGUUCGGACUGGAGUCUGCAACCCGACUCCACGAAGCUGGAUUCGCUAGUAAUCGCGCAUCAGCCACGGCGCGGUGAAUACGUUCCCGGGCCUUGUACACACCGCCCGUCAAGCCAUGGGAGCCGGGGGUACCUGAAGUGCGUAACCGCGAGGAGCGCCCUAGGGUA